CAAUACUGGCGCACGGCGCACGGGCGCGUAACACGUGGGUAACCUGCCCUGCAAUGGGGGAUAACCCGCCGAAAGGCGGGCUAAUACCGCAUGACAUUCCGGUGGCUUCGGACGCCGGAAUCAAAGCCCGCAAGGGCGUUGGAGGAGGGGCCCGCGGCCGAUUAGCUAGUUGGUGAGGUAACGGCUCACCAAGGCUUUGAUCGGUAGCCGGUCUGAGAGGAUGGUCGGCCACACUGGAACUGAGACACGGUCCAGACUCCUACGGGAGGCAGCAGUGGGGAAUCUUGCGCAAUGGGCGAAAGCCUGACGCAGCGACGCCGCGUGGGGGAUGAAGCUUCUCGGAGUGUAAACCCCUUUCGACCCGGACGAAACGCCCGCAAGGGUUUGACGGUACGGGUAUAAGAAGCCCCGGCUAACUACGUGCCAGCAGCCGCGGUAAGACGUAGGGGGCCAGCGUUGCUCGGAAUUACUGGGCGUAAAGGGUUCGUAAGCGGUGCGGUAAGUCGGAAGUGAAAUCUCUGGGCUUAACUCAGAGGCUGCUUUCGAAACUGCCGUGCUAGAGUGCGGGAGAGGCGAGUGGAAUUGCAGGUGUAGC
RNAcentral lists this ribosomal RNA (595 nucleotides) under uncultured Acidobacteriota bacterium. RNAcentral's name for it is "bacterial SSU rRNA". It matches the Rfam family "Bacterial small subunit ribosomal RNA", at positions 83 to 679 of the family's 1533-position model. Lineage: Bacteria; Pseudomonadati; Acidobacteriota. The record is from RNAcentral.